Long non-coding RNA from Polypterus senegalus (gray bichir), 1148 nucleotides. RefSeq lists it as uncharacterized. The record is from RefSeq and is a predicted model, not a curated record. The transcript is spliced from 3 exons. NCBI's taxonomy places the organism in Eukaryota, Metazoa, Chordata, Cladistia, Polypteriformes, Polypteridae.
CUGAGCAGCAGUAUGGUAUUUUAGUAAUUAAUCUUAAAUUGUUUUCAUGUGUUAUAGGAAAGACUUGGAACAUCUCAGUGGAAAAACUGACAUGAACAGUCUUCGAAAUGGUAGCUCAUACUGGGAUAUGUAGUUAAAAAAAAAAAAAGAAAAAGACUGCUACCCGUAAUCAAUUCAUGAGCCGCUUUCUACUUUCAAUAUCAAAUCAAACCUGGUAAAGCAGAAUUGCAUUUUUACAGUCACAAUAGUGUAUUUGGAAUGAUGCAAUAUACUUUUACUUCAUUGUUUAAUUUACAAGAAAAAGCAUUCAUUUAAGUGCUUUUCGUGCAGAUCAAAAGACAAAUGAACAUCAGCCUCUCUUUCCAGGAAAUGCCCACAGAUUCGUCCCUUGUCAGGAAGUCUCGCCAGUGCGCCUCCUUGAGCUCCCACUUCUCCCAUCAGUUCUCAUCAACUUUAAGCGGAGUUCACCAUCACUGGCCAUCUCACGCACUGCAGAGCUUAGUGAAAGCACUAGGCUGCCUUCACUUCAGGGAACACCCAAAAGCUGCUUUCCGGAAGGCGAACAGUUUAAUUCAAGACCCUUGUCAUCUCCCUUCUGGAAAACGGUACCAGAACACUGGCGCCCGCACCAGUUGAUUGUCAUUGACAGAUUCGACAUGAAGGCUAUAAGGUUGUUCGGCAGUCACUUAUAUGAAUAAAUAUUAUACAUAAAUAGAAUUAAUGUUUGUGGAAUUGAUCAAAAUCCCAGGAUGAGAUCCAGAGAAGACCAGGUUUCUGCUUCAACAGUGAUUGUAAUUUGAGUGCCCCAAUGUCCUGCUGCAGCUGGCUCAGUGUUGAAGAGAACAGACCCUCUGUGUUUGUUGGUGUCUUUGCCACCAUUGUUUAUAUGACAUCAUGUACAGUGAACAUCAGAAACCUACACGCCUUCACUGAAAUGUCAGCUUUUGUUGAUGAAAAGGCAGAAAUCCAGACAAGUCACGUCAGACAUCUGAUUUCACUUCAAGAAGAUCUAAUAACCAACGCUGUUUAGGUGAGAAACAAAGUAACAUUGUUAGGAAAAAAUAUUUAAAAACUUCCCUUGCCUUGGCUUUUAAAGUGUGUACGACAAAUUUAAUAUAAUAUAUAUCUCUCUAUUAUAAAAAAAAAUC